GCGCCGGCGAUCGGGGCGGCCCCGUCGGAGGUGCUGGCCGGCGAUGGUCCUCGCCGGCGAAUGGCUCCUCCGCGAGAACCUUCUCUUCUCAAAGUUACAUCUGAGGAACACGCGGAAAUUCCUAUGUUUCAUUGUCUGAAGAAGAGAAAAAUGUUGAGCACCUCUACAAUUCUCUGCUCUCUGUCACCAAGGCUGUUGAGAUGGCAAUGAUCUGUCGACGUUAUCUUGAUGAGGUUGCCCAGUUCAGUUCGUUGCAUUUGCAUCUUACACUGUGGAGUUCGUACGCGCAACAUCUGGCACAGCACAGUGCAGAGCUAAGUGCGGUUUGCAGAUGGAGAUAGAUUUUUUUUCUUCUUCUUAUAUCUCCACAGAAAGGAUGGACGAUUCGUCUGAUGAAGCAGAGUAGAAGCUCGGUAACAUCUUCGACGGUCAUCAUAAUGUUGCGAUGAACAGAGCAAAGCUGCAACGUAUUUGAAGUGCAUCUGCACCGCCUGAUCAAAAUCUGAACCCCUCUGAUGGACCUGCAAAAGGUCUCUGCACUCGCUACAGCCCAUAAAUAAUGUCCCAGGUUUUUCGUGUAACCAUGUAAUCCUAAUUAAUUUGGUCUGAAUUGAGAGGUAACUGCACAGCAAUUUGGUUGUUACUAUAAAACAAAAUGAAGAAUGUCUUCAGAAUAACUAGAGCUAUACCAACUGAAACAGAAGCGUUUAAAUGCCUAGUGGA
Molecule: long non-coding RNA, 723 nt
Organism: Oryza brachyantha (malo sina)
Lineage: Eukaryota; Viridiplantae; Streptophyta; Magnoliopsida; Poales; Poaceae
Exons: 5
Source: RefSeq, a predicted model, not a curated record